CAGGUUUGCAGCCCUCUUGGGCGUUAAGGCCGUUAGCGUCCUCCAGCAAAACAGCGUGAUGGGCGCCUCCAGGAAAAGGUUGAUUUUUGUGCUGCAAUUAUCAGACAUGAAACUGAGGGAGAAGGUGCCCAGAGGCACAAAAACAUCGAGUUGCAGGAAGUCUGAGGCAAGGCAGAUGCCAGGGACAGCUACACUUUCCCACAGACGGUAGAAGACCUUCCCAAGAGAUGAUUUGGCA
Struthio camelus australis is the source of this 238-nucleotide long non-coding RNA. RefSeq lists it as uncharacterized. NCBI's taxonomy places the organism in Eukaryota, Metazoa, Chordata, Aves, Struthioniformes, Struthionidae. The record is from RefSeq and is a predicted model, not a curated record.